This 450-nucleotide ribosomal RNA is filed under the name uncultured bacterium. RNAcentral describes it as "bacterial SSU rRNA". It matches the Rfam family "Bacterial small subunit ribosomal RNA", at positions 354 to 796 of the family's 1533-position model. The record is from RNAcentral.
GUGGGGAAUUUUGGACAAUGGGGGAAACCCUGAUCCAGCCAUGCCGCGUGCGGGAAGAAGGCCUUCGGGUUGUAAACCGCUUUUGGCAGGAACGAAACGGCGCGCGCCAAUACCGCGCGUUAAUGACGGUACCUGCAGAAUAAGCACCGGCUAACUACGUGCCAGCAGCCGCGGUAAUACGUAGGGUGCAAGCGUUAAUCGGAAUUACUGGGCGUAAAGCGUACGCAGGCGGCUAUGCAAGACAGGUGUGAAAUCCCCGGGCUCAACCUGGGAACUGCACUUGUGACUGCAUGGCUAGAGUCCGUAAGAGGGGGGUGGAAUUCCACGUGUAGCAGUGAAAUGCGUAGAGAUGUGGAGGAACACCGAUGGCGAAGGCAGCCCCCUGGGAUGAGACUGACGCUCAUGUACGAAAGCGUGGGGAGCAAACAGGAUUAGAAACCCUUGUAGUCC